UGCGGGGGGAGCAAGCGUUGUUCGGAUUUACUGGGCGUAAAGGGCGCGUAGGCGGCCACCGCAAGUCAAUUGUGAAAUCUCCGGGCUUAACUCGGAAAGGUCAACUGAUACUGCGGGGCUAGAGUGCGGAAGGGGCAACUGGAAUUCUCGGUGUAGCGGUGAAAUGCGUAGAUAUCGAGAGGAACACCGGUGGCGAAGGCGGCCAACUGGACGAAUACUGACGCUGAGACUCGAAAGCGUGGGGAGCAAACAGG
Molecule: ribosomal RNA, 254 nt
Filed under: uncultured bacterium
Lineage: Bacteria
Description: partial 16S ribosomal RNA
Rfam family: Bacterial small subunit ribosomal RNA
Source: RNAcentral